UACGGAGGGUGCGAGCGUUGUUCGGAAUCACUGGGCGUAAAGCGCGUGUAGGCGGCUUCUUAAGUCCGAUGUGAAAGCCCGGGGCUCACCCCCGGAAGUGCAUUGGAUACUGGGAAGCUGGAGUACCGGAGAGGAGGGUGGAAUUCCUGGUGUAGCGGUGAAAUGCGUAGAUAUCAGGAGGAACACCUGUGGCGAAGGCGGCCCUCUGGACGGAUACUGACGCUGAGACGCGAAAGCGUGGGGAGCAAACAGGAUUAGAUACCCUGGUAGUCCACGCUGUAAACGAUGGGCACUAGGUGUUCGGGGUAUUGACCCCCCGAGUGCCGCAGCUAACGCAUUAAGUGCCCCGCCUGGGGACUACGGCCGCAAGGCUAAA
This 376-nucleotide ribosomal RNA is filed under the name uncultured bacterium. Its description in RNAcentral is "bacterial SSU rRNA". It matches the Rfam family "Bacterial small subunit ribosomal RNA", at positions 524 to 898 of the family's 1533-position model. The record is from RNAcentral.